RNAcentral lists this ribosomal RNA (253 nucleotides) under uncultured bacterium. RNAcentral describes it as "partial 16S ribosomal RNA". It matches the Rfam family "Bacterial small subunit ribosomal RNA", at positions 524 to 776 of the family's 1533-position model. The record is from RNAcentral.
UACAGAGGGUGCAAGCGUUAAUCGGAAUUACUGGGCGUAAAGCGUGCGCAGGCGGUUAUAUAAGACAGAUGUGAAAUCCCCGGGCUCAACCUGGGAAUUGCAUUUGAAACUGGGGAACUAGAGUGUGUGAGAGGGGGGUAGAAUUCCAAGUGUAGCGGUGAAAUGCGUAGAGAUUUGGAGGAAUACCAGUGGCGAAGGCGGCCCCCUGGCACAACACUGACGCUCAGGUGCGAAAGCGUGGGGAGCAAACAGG